RNAcentral lists this small nucleolar RNA (73 nucleotides) under Dasypus novemcinctus (nine-banded armadillo). RNAcentral's name for it is "Small nucleolar RNA SNORD101 (ENSDNOG00000027737.1)". It matches the Rfam family "Small nucleolar RNA SNORD101". Rfam says of the family: snoRNA U101 is a member of the C/D class of snoRNA which contain the C (UGAUGA) and D (CUGA) box motifs and guide the 2'-O-methylation of rRNA and snRNAs. The precise target of this family is unknown. Lineage: Eukaryota; Metazoa; Chordata; Mammalia; Cingulata; Dasypodidae. The record is from RNAcentral.
CUUUGUAUGAUGACUUAUGUUGAUGGAUACCCCUUCACUCUUUUAAUGAAUUAAAACACAAAGUCUGACAAAC